GGGACGUAACAAAGCGACCCAGGAAUGCUUGGGCGUGCCUCCACCCACGCCGGCGUCGGCGGGCGUAUUUCGCCUCACAGUAGGUCGCCGCGACCCGUUGCUUUUGGGGACGUCGAAGGCCCGGACGGAUUGGUACCCUACCGGCUGGGGAUGCGGCUUCGGCUUCUCCUCUUGUCCGGUGGGCGAAACCGCCGGUGUCCUGGCUGCCCUGCGACGGUCGUAGAGACGAGCCCUCCCCUUCGGGGGGGCGGCUCUCGCGGCGUGCAAAAGGUCGGUGAUCCACCCGACCCGUCUUGAAACACGGACCAAGGAGUCUAACAUGUGUGCGAGUCAGUGGGCGCACUAAACCCAGAGGCGUAAUGAAAGUGACACGGGUUCGGCUGUCGCCUCGUGUGGCAGCCGGACUCAGGGCCGAUCCCUCACCGGUUGCCCUCGCCUCUCUCCCGCGUCUCGGUAAGCCGGGUGAGCUAUUUUCCCCGGCCGCUGCUGCGGGGCUCGGGGGGA
This 504-nucleotide ribosomal RNA is filed under the name Faxonius ronaldi. RNAcentral describes it as "eukaryotic LSU rRNA". Lineage: Eukaryota; Metazoa; Arthropoda; Malacostraca; Decapoda; Cambaridae. The record is from RNAcentral.